RNAcentral lists this ribosomal RNA (510 nucleotides) under uncultured bacterium. RNAcentral's name for it is "partial 16S ribosomal RNA". It matches the Rfam family "Bacterial small subunit ribosomal RNA", at positions 28 to 507 of the family's 1533-position model. The record is from RNAcentral.
GACGAACGCUGGCGGCGUGCUUAACACAUGCAAGUCGAACGAAGAGCGAUGGAAGCUUGCUUCUAUCAAUCUUAGUGGCGAACGGGUGAGUAACGCGUAAUCAACCUGCCCUUCAGAGGGGGACAACAGUUGGAAACGACUGCUAAUACCGCAUACGAUCUAAUCUCGGCAUCGAGGAUAGAUGAAAGGUGGCCUCUACAUGUAAGCUAUCACUGAAGGAGGGGAUUGCGUCUGAUUAGCUAGUUGGAGGGGUAACGGCCCACCAAGGCGAUGAUCAGUAGCCGGUCUGAGAGGAUGAACGGCCACAUUGGGACUGAGACACGGCCCAGACUCCUACGGGAGGCAGCAGUGGGGAAUCUUCCGCAAUGGACGAAAGUCUGACGGAGCAACGCCGCGUGAGUGAUGACGGCCUUCGGGUUGUAAAGCCCUGUUAAUCGGGACGAAAGGCCUUCUUGCGAACAGUUAGAAGGAUUGACGGUACCGGAAUAGAAAGCCACGGCUAACUACGUG